UACAGAGGUCCCAAGCGUUGUUCGGAUUCACUGGGCGUAAAGGGUGCGUAGGUGGCUUGGUAAGUUUGAUGUGAAAUCUCCGGGCUUAACCCGGAAAUGGCAUUGAAUACUAUUGAGCUGGAGGUUUGGAGGGGGGACUGGAAUUCUCGGUGUAGCAGUGAAAUGCGUAGAUAUCGAGAGGAACACCAGUGGCGAAAGGCGAGUCCCUGGACAACACCUGACACUGAGGCACGAAAGCUAGGGGGAGCAAACAGG
RNAcentral lists this ribosomal RNA (255 nucleotides) under uncultured bacterium. RNAcentral describes it as "partial 16S ribosomal RNA". It matches the Rfam family "Bacterial small subunit ribosomal RNA", at positions 524 to 776 of the family's 1533-position model. The record is from RNAcentral.